GACGAACGCUGGCGGCGUGCUUAACACAUGCAAGUCGAACGGAAAGGCCCUGCUUUUGUGGGGUGCUCGAGUGGCGAAAGGGUGAGUAACACGUGAGUAACCUGCCCUUGACUUUGGGAUAACUUCAGGAAACUGGGGCUAAUACCGGAUAGGAGCUCCUGCUGCAUGGUGGGGGUUGGAAAGUUUCGGCGGUUGGGGAUGGACUCGCGGCUUAUCAGCUUGUUGGUGGGGUAGUGGCUUACCAAGGCUUUGACGGGUAGCCGGCCUGAGAGGGUGACCGGCCACAUUGGGACUGAGAUACGGACCAGACUCCUACGGGAGGCAGCAGUGGGGAAUAUUGCACAAUGGGCGGAAGCCUGAUGCAGCAACGCCGCGUGCGGGAUGACGGCCUUCGGGUUGUAAACCGCUUUCGCCUGUGACGAAGCGUGAGUGACGGUAAUGGGUAAAGAAGCACCGGCUAACUACGUG
RNAcentral lists this ribosomal RNA (468 nucleotides) under uncultured bacterium. RNAcentral's name for it is "partial 16S ribosomal RNA". It matches the Rfam family "Bacterial small subunit ribosomal RNA", at positions 28 to 507 of the family's 1533-position model. The record is from RNAcentral.